RNAcentral lists this long non-coding RNA (234 nucleotides) under Homo sapiens (human). Its description in RNAcentral is "HSALNT0302459". Lineage: Eukaryota; Metazoa; Chordata; Mammalia; Primates; Hominidae. The record is from RNAcentral.
AGGCCGGACGCAGUGGCUCACGCCUGUAAUCCCAGCACUUUGGGAGGCCGAGGUGGGCGGAUCACAAGGUCAGGAGAUUGAGACCAACCUGGCUAACACGGUGAAACCCCGUCUCUACUAAAAAUACAAAAAAUUUGCCGGGCGUGGUGGCGUGCGCCUGUAGUUCCAGCUACCCGGGAGGCUGAGGCAGGAGAAUGGCCUGAACCCGGGAGGCGGAGCUUGCAGUGAGGGGAG